UCCUAUAGAAACAGUCAAGCAGACAAAAGAAACAAGAGAAAUUUGGACUUGGGUGAUGAACCAACUAGCAAAUGUUAAAAAUAACAAAGAUAACAUUGUUAGUUGCAGCCUCAUGGAAAAGGCGUAAAUCAAGCUUGAUAGCACCAAUAAAAAAAAAAGAGCGUAACAAUUCACAAAUGAUUUUGCAUACAAAAUAAUUUUUCAAGGCUAUUCUUCACUUUGGAAAGAAGAGAAUGAGAAAUUCCAAAAUAAAUUUUCAAGGCUAUUCUUCACUUUGGAAAGAAGAGAAUGAGAAAUUCCCACUCUACUGCCAUGCCAUAUUAAUUAGAUACAUUACAUUCAGAUCCACAUGUACACAUUUAAUAAUUCAAGAGAACUGAACAAUCCUUUUGUUAAAAAAUAAACAGCAAAAU
This 413-nucleotide long non-coding RNA is filed under the name Manihot esculenta (cassava). Its description in RNAcentral is "long non-coding RNA (MESC_LNC010498)". The record is from RNAcentral. Lineage: Eukaryota; Viridiplantae; Streptophyta; Magnoliopsida; Malpighiales; Euphorbiaceae.